GCGUCCGUAGCUCAGUUGGUUAGAGCACCACCUUGACAUGGUGGGGGUCGGUGGUUCGAGUCACUCGGACGCA
This 73-nucleotide transfer RNA is filed under the name Nilaparvata lugens (brown planthopper). RNAcentral describes it as "tRNA-Val". It matches the Rfam family "tRNA". Rfam says of the family: Transfer RNA (tRNA) molecules are approximately 80 nucleotides in length. Their secondary structure includes four short double-helical elements and three loops (D, anti-codon, and T loops). The record is from RNAcentral. Lineage: Eukaryota; Metazoa; Arthropoda; Insecta; Hemiptera; Delphacidae.